CCUACGGGGGGCAGCAGUGGGGAAUAUUGGACAAUGGGCGAAAGCCUGAUCCAGCCAUGCCGCGUGUGUGAAGAAGGCCUUCGGGUUGUAAAGCACUUUCAGUGGGGAAGAAAGCCUUGGGGCUAAUACCCUCGAGGAAGGACAUCACCCACAGAAGAAGCACCGGCUAACUCCGUGCCAGCAGCCGCGGUAAUACGGAGGGUGCGAGCGUUAAUCGGAAUUACUGGGCGUAAAGCGCGCGUAGGCGGUCUGAUAAGCCGGUUGUGAAAGCCCCGGGCUCAACCUGGGAACGGCAUCCGGAACUGGCAGGCUAGAGUGCAGGAGAGGAAGGUAGAAUUCCCGGUGUAGCGGUGAAAUGCGUAGAGAUCGGGAGGAAUACCAGUGGCGAAGGCGGCCUUCUGGACUGACACUGACGCUGAGGUGCGAAAGCGUGGGUAGCAAACAGGAUUAGAUACCCUAGUAGUC
Molecule: ribosomal RNA, 465 nt
Filed under: Vreelandella stevensii
Lineage: Bacteria; Pseudomonadati; Pseudomonadota; Gammaproteobacteria; Oceanospirillales; Halomonadaceae
Description: partial 16S ribosomal RNA
Rfam family: Bacterial small subunit ribosomal RNA
Source: RNAcentral